UGUGAUCUACUUCCAAAAAAUCAGCCACUGAAAACCCCAUGGAGGGCUGUUCUACUCUGACACACAUGAGGUCGCCAUGAGUUGGAGUCAACUCAAUGGCAACUGGUUAGAUGUUCUCUUAAUAUUUGAAUAUCCCAGUUUCAGAUUAUAAAGGCCAGUCUCUUGUGAAUAGAAAAUGUUGAUGUAAGGAAAAGGAUGAUGGAAUGUAAAUAACAUAUAUUGUGUGCCUACUGUAUACUGGACCCUAUGCUGGUUCCUGGGAGUCCUGGUGGCACACUGGGUAAGAGCUAUGGUUGUUAACCAAAAGGUCGGCCGUUUGAAUCCACCAGCCGCACUUUGGAAACCCUAUGGGGCAGUACUACUCUAUCCUGUAGGGUCACUAUGAUUUGGAAUCAACUUGACAGCAAUGGGCUUGGUUUUUGUUUUGGUUUGUGCUGGUUCCUUGGGCUAUGGUGGUGAACAAGAGAGGCAGAGUUCUUAUUUAAUUGAGUUUACAUUUUAAUGGUGUUAGAAGAGGGACAAAGAGUAAACAAGUAAACAAAUAAAGGAAUAAGGUCAAUUUAACUAGCGAUACAGCCCCUUGUUCCUUAUUUAAUGUGACCGAUUAGAGAUUGAUUUGGGUUCAUUAAAGGAAAGCAAAUCUGAGAGGCACUCUGGAAAGUAGAAAGGGAUAACCAUAAACAAACGUGUACCCUCAGAGCUGGAAGGAGGCCUCCUUUGCCAGUGCUUGCUCUGACCUUGGCCAUCUGCCUGCACAGUGGGCCUCUCCUGGUCCAGGCUGUGAGCUGCUUUGGCCAGUCUGUGUGAAAUGCUGAUUCUGAUGCUUUUAGGAGGAGAGUGGUCAUGUCAGCAUCUUCUGUGCCAUGGAUCUAUUGUGAUCAUUUUGUUAGAAGUCACUGAGUUUUGAGAAUUAAAGGGAAACUGCUGAAAGGCAUAUUUUGAGGGAAAAAAGAAAAUAUCGUAGCUCUUUAGAAGGAGAAACAGAAAAGAAACGAUCAGGAACCUAGCAUCAGUACAACAAUGGGACAAAAGGCAUAGUAGGAUCUCAGGAGGCAGGCAGAAGCAGACAACUGACAUCUACAGUAGUAAUAAUAAUAUCUUACAUGUGCAUAGCCCAUAUAGUCCUCACAGAAACACUGUGCCUUAGAUAAGGCAGGUGGUGUUUGUUGCUGUCUGAUCGAUUCCGACUCAUGGUGACCUCGUGUGCAGAGAGUAGAACUGCUCCAUAGAGUUUUCAAGACUCUACCUUUUGGAAGCAGAUCGCCAGGUCUGUCUUCUUAGGCGCCUCUGGGUAGGUUUGAACCACCAACCUUUUGGCUAGUAGUGAAGGGCUUAACCGUUUGAGCAUAGUUACUGCAUUUUACGUAUGGGGAAAUAGACUCAGAGAAAAUAAGAAAUGAUAAUAACAUCUUACUUUUGAAUAACAAGUUUGCAGUUUGUGGAGUACUUACAUGUGAUCUCAGUGUGUCCUCUGGGGUAUUAUUACCCCCAUUUUAUGGACAGGUAAUAGAGACUCAAACUUGCAUGCACUAACUCUACUAGCAAGCAGCAGUCUAGCCCCCUGACUCUUGGUCCUGUGUGGUAAGCCAAGCUGAGCAGCUGGGCCCCAAAUUCGUAAGAGAAUUUGCAACUACAUAGGGACAUUGACUGCCUUGAGCCUCCAGACACACACCCACACAUAAUUUGAAGCAGUGACUAUACUAGAAACAAUGGCAAUCAUGAAUGGAAUGAGGAUGUCAGAUACUCCGGACACAUCAAAUCUAGAACAAGGGAGGCCCACAAGAGAAUCUUUCUUUUUUUUUUUUUAAUUCAGUAAUUUUUAAGAAGACAAGGCAAAGUGGGGUAACAUUUUUAAUUUAAGAAAGCUCACACUUUGCUACCUGCGUUUCUUGUGAGUUCACCAAGUCAACCCCCAGGUCUGGGAGAGACAGCUACGGGGUUGUUAUGAAGAGAAACUUGAUCUUGAAUCAGAGAAGCAGAUUCAUUUCUGAAACCGAGAUUAGCCUCUAGGUUUUCUCCUCACUGUUGCUUAUUUUGGAAUGAAUAUCAUAGAUGGAACUUAAAGGAGAGACUGCCCCUCUUUGCUGAGAAGUGAUUUUGAAUCCAUUCAGAUCCAGGUCUGCAACCUGGAGAAAAUGCAGGGGCUCGUAAUUGAUGGGCUUUGCUUCAAGGCGGAGACCGUGCCUUAUUUAUCUUUGUAUUUCCAGGGUCUACAAUAGUGUCAGAUAUCCAGUAAGCAAGCAUGUGGUGUUUGUUGAACUGAGCUGUGGCAACAUGAAUAUUUAAAAGACCACAGCCCUUUAUAUUUCUGUGACUAAAUGCACUUUUAAGUGCACCAAAUGUGAAGCAUUGAUGUUAGAGGUGUACUUUUGGUUCAGCACAUUUUUUAAAAACAAUCACGUUUAUUGAGUGCUUACCAUGUGUCAGACACUCUUCUGAGUUUUUCUUUUUAAUAUUAAUUUAUAUAUCCUCACAAUUACUUAAUGAAGUAUAUACUAUUAUUUUCCAUUAUACAGAUAAGGAAACUGAGGCAUAAAUGAAGAAAUGUGCCCAGGGUAACAUAGCCUGUAAGUGGUGGAGCUGGGACUUGAAUUGAGCAGGGUGACCCCACUGUCCAUGCUUCUAAUCACUACUUCAUACUGUGUAUAGGGAAGGAUAGUUACACAGUUAUUAUCAGGCUCCGUCUCACACAUGCUCCAUGACUGAGUUUGAGAGCCAGGAGCAACAAGACGUUUGAAAGUCAAAAAUGAUUAGAGCUAACUCGUCAUCUGAAGUGCAGGUGAAGUUCAGACUGAAUGCCUAGCGGCCACAGAGACAGUUGCCAAUAUCCUGUUUUUUAAGAGGUAGAAAGUGCCUGAACAUGUAGAGAUUAUGAGUGACAAAUAUGUUUCAACUCGCAUGCCACGGUAGGUUGGCAGUGGCCACCUACAGGGCUGGGUGGAGGAUUCUAAGGCAAUAUUCAAGCUCAGUGGGAAAGAGUGCUAUGGUUCAUUAUCGAUAUCUGCCAUGGUCAUAAGAGAAGGCAGUGUGGCUGACAGGUCCCUGGGAUGGAUUUGUCAAAGAGUUCAGGAACGCAAACUUAGAGCAUCUUGAAUAUGAAUUCCUGGUGAAAUGUUAACUGUUCUCAUAGAACAGGACCUCACUACACUGUAAAACCAAAGCUGUUGCCAUUGAGUCGAUUCUGACUCAUAGCAACCCUACAGGACAGUGUAGAACUGCCCCACGGGGUUUCCAAGAACAGCUGGUAGAUUCAAACUGUCGGCCUUUUGGUUAGCAGCAGAGCUAUUAACCACUGUGCCACCAGGGCUCCCAUUACACUGUAAGUGGGCCUUAAAUCCAUUUACAGAAUAAGCUUGGGUUUAAAUCGGUUAAUUGACUUGUUUGUAAGUAACUCGAAGAUGGGUACAUUCCAUGAAGAGCAUGGAUGAGGUGACUGAUGCUUCUUUAGUAUUUUGUAAAGUCAAGUACAAACUGAGCUUGACUUCCUCUCCUGUUUGCAACCAGACUGCCCUCCCUAAGCUGUUCUUACUUGGAAAUUCUGGAGGUAUCAUUACUCAGGAUCAGCAUUCUGAAGGAAAUCUUCUUUGGGUAGAAAUGGAGAUAAGAACAAUGUAGGAAUAAGCCAAGUGAUGCCCAAAACUUAAGUGUGAUCACUGGACCUUUCUUCUGUAAAUCAAAUCCUGCUCUAAGCUGCCUUUUAAAAAAAUCAGCAAAUAUAUAUUUAGCUAUUAUGCUCCAAGCCCUACUCUAGGCACCAGAAAUGGAGAGUAAAUGAGACAAGCUACUGUUCUCUUACAGAGUGCUUUCUUUGUUAUGUUAUGCUAAAAGAUAAGUGAUACAGCUUCUUGAGUUUGUGAACUCCCUGAAAUUGAAUGCAAAAUUUUGUGUGAUGGCACAUAUGCAUUUUCAACGUGGACAUGUUUUAUAGUUUUGUCAGAUUCUUCGAGGGUUCCGAGGCCCAACAACCUUAAGCAGAGGCCUGCGAGGACAGGGAGAAGAAUCUCCUGGAAUGGAGUUAGUGUGAUUCUUCAAUCUACACAGAGAAGUUAAGCUCUAGAGAUCCAAAUAUUCCCAUUCUCUGUGUAUCUGUUCAUUCUAGUUUUAGGAGUGUGAACAGAAAGAAUGUCGCUUUCUUCAUGGCUAAGAUACUUCCUUUACCUUGGACGCUUGUUAUCUAUUUUAUUAUCUGUCUAGCUUGUUAUCUAUUUUAUUAUCUAUCUAAGCAUUUUCUUCUUUUCUAAAAGGCAAGCAUUCCUUACGUAGCAGCUGAACUCUUUUUACUCUGUUUGGAAGAUUAGGUUUGAACCCAGCCCAGCAACUUUUUAUUUUGUGUUUCACUCUGAGUGACCUCCCAGCCUUUUCAGGCUUCCUUCUCUCCCACCUUGACCUCUAACUCCAAAUUUAUGUCUCCCUGUCACUGGGGGAAAACUUCUUGAUGGACGGGAUGGAGCUUCGUCUUGAGGAUUUUCAUUAUAACACUGACUAUUGUUAGCAGUGCACUCCAGCCUGCUAGCGUUCAUAUUUUGGCAGUGGACCAUCAAACACCCUAUUUUUAAGAGCCUUUAACUUAGUUGUAAACAUGUGCUGUGACUGGGAGCUCACUUUCUUUAUUCAUAUUUAACCAACGUGGUUUAGCUGUUGAAAAGUUGUUAAAAAAAAAAAAAAGCACAGACUUCAGGACUGUUUUUUCCACUCAUCUAACUCAAAGCUGUGCGUGAUCUCAAAAAGAAAACUUGGCAUUAAGUGCUUUAUUUGAUGGUCCAGUCAUAUUGGUAAUUCGAGGGGAGGAAGAAAUGAAACUGCUGGGUCAUUUACAAACACGCAUGGAGGGAAUGGGCCCAGUGAUGGCUGCCGUCCAUACAUACAUGAUGGGCAAGAGUCGCUCAAAGAGAGGCAGGCCAAUAUGCCGCAUAAGUUAUUUAUGCCCUUAAAAUCGUCUAUAUUUAGAAUAAAAACUUAUCAUAGACAUAUUUCCCACACACUCUAAAUUGUGGAGACUUUAUUAAUCCCAUUAGGAGAACAUAAAUAAUGUCGCAAACUUUCAGCGUCCAGCUUGCACAUGUACAGAUGUUUCAUUGAUGUCGGAGGACCUUAAAAAUAAUAUACAGAAAUUUGGUGAAAGAAAGAGUAUCACAAAUACUCCUUUUUCUUUAAUCUCUAGAAGGAAUGUAGGCGAGUGUAACAAAGCAUAUUAAUGUUUUGAAGAGAUUGUGACUUAUAGUACUGGAGCAGGAGCUGGAGGAAUUUAAAUGUUAAAAGGAGAGUUUGAACUUUGAUAUCUUCCUCUCGUGAUUUAAGAUUCUAAAAGUUAACGUCGGGCAAAAUCUUGUACUCUGUCACUGGAGAAAUACCAGCUUUUCCACAAGCGUUUAGAAUUUCUUGAAACUAUUUGCAGCAGAACAGGGCAACUGUGCUUUGGAGACUGGCUGCAUCUGUGAGGUAGGAGAGAAGAAGGUCCGGGAACAUGUCAUUUCAGGGGCCUUGAGCCCAGUCGGCAUCCAUGUGCUGUGGAAGUACCACGGCCUGGAAAUCCUCUGAUUAAAUGAUGAGUGUGUCUCUUUUCCACACCGAUCCUGUUUGAAGGCGCCUUGCCUCGGUGUUGUUUUUACCCCUUGGGCUGCUUUUUGAUGUUGUUUUCCUCCCCACAUCCGAGGCAGAUGAGCACCAACACAGGCCAGCACAUGGCUUCCACAUGUUCUCUCCCUCCACCCUGAAUGGCAGUGCUCUGAAGACAUCGGCGUUCUUGGUCCUUGUCAGCAUACUCAAGUAAACAGUCUCAAUGUUUUAAGACCUUUAUUCCUUUUCAUAAAUAUAAUAAGAAAAGUUACUUUUCUUAGUCAAGCCUUAUGAUUUUAAAACAAGCAACAAAAAAGCAAGGAGCCACUGCAUCCUAAACACUUAUGGUUUGGUGCUUGCAGUAUUGAGUCCUCCUGAAAAACAAAGUAAAGAAAAAAUUAACCCCUUUGGAGUACAGAAGGUUCUAGUAGCCAUACCAGUGAUGAAUCUCAGCUUUUUGCUCCGGUCACAGUCACAUCAGCACUGAUGCAAGGCCAUAAACUAAGUAACCAUAAACCAAAAGCAGAAUUUCACUACUCUGCUGGACCCUGAACUGAACCAAAACCAAAUAUAAUGUUGGAAUGGAACAAAAACAUGUCCAAAAAUAGACCUAGUGAACUAGUUCAAACCAGAAUGAUACUUACAUAUGUUGUAAAAUGACUGAACAGAGCAAAACUAGAGUUUAAAAAAAAAUCCCACAAACAUAACCUGAACCAAACCAAUGGCCCAUGAGUUUGGACAUCUGCACUGCCGUCAUUUAUGAGAUGCCAGCAGGAAUUGAAGGAUUUGGACUCUGCUAUUCUGUUGACCUCCCCAAAGAUGACUGUCUCUGGGACACUGAGUCAGGUGGCAAGUGUUAACAAACAAUACCUGUUUCUUUGUCAGACAGAGCACCGGUAAGCAAUACCCUUACUUUGUCAGAGAUACCAGAAGGAGGGGUUUUCUCAACUUUGGCACUGUUAAUAUUUUGGACCAGAUAAUUCCUUUCGGUAUGUGCGUUGUAGGAUGUUUAGCAGAAAACCUCACUUCUACCCUCUGAGUGCCAAUAGCCCUUCUCCAGUUGUAACAGUUAAAAAUGUCUCCAGUCAUUGCCAGUGUCCCCUGGGGAGUAAAAUCGCCCCGGUUGAGAACCACUGCAAUAGAGGAGCAGUCAUUAGCCUCUUGCAUUGGUUCAAAAAGGUUUUCCAGUGGAUGUUGGAAAGAGAAGCCACAUACCUGCAUAGACAGGCUACCUAGUAGAAAAUAUGUCAGUCUCUAAGUCUUCACUUCAGUCUUGGCUUCUCUGCUAAAGCAAGAAAUCUUUCAUGUUGGAAAGACCAUGUAUGGUACUAUUGUGAGGGAUACCAAGUGAAAACACUGUCAAUUAUUGAAGACAUUGGUCAACAAACACUUUUUAAAAAAUUUAUCUCAUACCAGCUUUUGGUGUUGGUGAUCAAAUGAUUUCAAGAUCUCUGAUACACUGCAAUCAGUGUUUAUCUUCAUAUUCUAAAAACGAUGUGGAAAUAUUUCAACAUAUUGAGUCUAAAAGUUUUUCCAGUUCACAGUGUAGGGAGAUGUUUGAUACAGGCUGCCUACAUAGCCUACAGUGAAUUAUUUAUACAUUAGAGCGCUAUUUCAGGAGAAUUAGACGUCUUAAUUAUAACUUUUUUAAAUUUGUGUGUAUAUAGUGUAUGCCUUUGAAAUGAAAUUUAUAGUUACUCUGUGCUUCAAUGGGGCUUUUCAAUUUUUAUAUACUAUAACAGUACCUUUCCCUUGGCAGUCUUCAUUUGGGAGGAAGAUUCAUUUGUACAUCAGAGCAUUAUUUUGAACAGUGGGUUUUGACAAGAUUGUAAUGUGGUAAUUGCAUUUAAAAUUGAGUUGUGCCAAAGCAUUGCAAAAAUAAUAGUAAGUCCACUAAAUAUAUAACACUGACACACAGAGUUCAUCAGCUUUUCUUAAUACUGUGAAAAACAACCGAAAUUUUCUAUUUUUUGGUAGGUGAGGAAAACCUGGGGAUAGACUAAUCUCAGUAUAAAAUUGAACAGCUAGUCGAGUUUUCCAAAUGGUUUAUUUUAAUGGUGAUUUAGCAUUCUAAGGCACGGACCUUUAGCUUUUGUUAGCUUUUGUCUUUGCAUGUAGAUUAUAAUGCAAAGUGUUGUAUAGCAACGAAAGCUAUUGGUUAGUAUUUUUUCAUAGAUUGUUAAGUGAUGAUGAUACUGAUGGAACUUAUAAUAACAAGAAGUACACCUUAAUCUCAUUUAAUCUCCACAACUAUACUGUUUGGAAUCAGUAUUUUCCCUAUUUUGCCAGUGAGAAAACUGAGACUCAGAAAUGUUAAGAAGACCUGAUCAGGUCACCAGAGCUGUGAUGAUGGGGAGGGCAGGAGUGAGGAAUACUAAUAAUUGAGAACUUACUGGACAUAAGAAACCCUGGUCGUUCAAUGGUUAGGCGCUCAGCUGCUAACUGAAAGGUUGGCGGUUUGAAUUCACCCAACAGCUCCAAGAGAGAAAAAUCUGGCGAUCUGCUCCUAUAAAGAUUACAGCCUAAAAAACCCUGUGGGACAGUUCUACUCUGUCACAAGGGGUUGCUAUUAGUCAAAAUCUACUCAACCAUGCCCAACAACAUCAACUGGUACGCAUACAUCAUUGACCACCGUUCUGCUCCAUGACGUGGGUCCCAUUUUUCUGUUUUCUGAUGAUGAAACCCAUACUCCAAGAGCAAACACAACAGCUAGUGAAUGAUAGCAGCAGAAUUUGAAACCAGGCCUUCUGACUCUCUUGGAUUUUUUGGGUUUUUUUUUAAUUGAUGUUGUCGAUUUAGCUGUUUCUUGAAUUCAAAAACACAAAAGGAGCUCGAGGUAUAUGAAUUCACACUUAAUAAUGUCUGAACUCCAACUAUGCAAAAGUAUAAUCACCUUCUGGCCUCAGUUUUUUAGGAACAGCCAGUCCCUGAAAGUUGUCCAUUCUGUCCCAGGAAUCUGCCCUUACUCUAAAAUUGACCAAAAUAUCCAGAGGUUUUGCAUCACUCUAUUCUAGUCUUCCUGAGAACUACCUUAGAGAAACGAUGACAAGGUCAGUGACAUCCUCCAACAGGAGCUGCCAGCCAUUCACUUCCAUCUUUUCUGUGGCCAUCAACCAGGGGAGGAAGAGAAUUCACCUCUGUGGGCUGCAGCCUGGAGCCUUUUCUGUCAACUUCCAAUGUUUUAAAUCAUCCAAACCUAACACUAUCUGCCAGCCAUUUAGAGAACAGGACAGACUUACUUUAAGGCAAUCAGCAGGCUUCGGGAUAUACCAUACCAGUGUCGUCAGGUGUGUGAGCUUGAGUAUUUAAUGGACCAAUUCUGACUUAAAAAUGUUAGCAUGAUUUACAUCUUUGGUUGCAAUUGUAGUUGUUUCAACCAGUUUUACCCAUGGCUGGCAAGUCUGUGCCUCUUAGUCCAGUCCUGGUGUCACAUGCUCUUUCUGACUUGGACUUCGGCCCAAAAACUUCUUCAUUCUCUGUUUUCUCCAUAGACUCCUGAAGCCCAAUGUGGUUACUUACUCCUUUGGAAAAUGACCCUUCAACAAAUCCUUUUAAAAUUUCUCCCUGCUUAGUUCUGUUUCUCCAAGCAGCUUCCAUUAACUGGUCUAUCAGUGACUAAGUAAUAUUCUCCCCUUUAUAAACAAGUUCUUCAUCUGACCAGCUCUGGUGACAACAGACACUUGAAUAAGUUCAUAUUUCUUGACUUAGCUCUUCUAGUAAUUUCUGGCUAACAAAAAAAAAAAUAG
This is a long non-coding RNA of Trichechus manatus latirostris (Florida manatee), 9302 nucleotides long. RefSeq lists it as uncharacterized. NCBI's taxonomy places the organism in Eukaryota, Metazoa, Chordata, Mammalia, Sirenia, Trichechidae. The record is from RefSeq and is a predicted model, not a curated record. The transcript is spliced from 2 exons.